RNAcentral lists this ribosomal RNA (386 nucleotides) under uncultured soil bacterium. Its description in RNAcentral is "bacterial SSU rRNA". It matches the Rfam family "Bacterial small subunit ribosomal RNA", at positions 26 to 443 of the family's 1533-position model. The record is from RNAcentral.
AGAACGAACGCUGGCGGCAUGCCUAAUACAUGCAAGUCGAACGAACUCUUCGGAGUUAGUGGCGCACGGGUGCGUAACGCGUGGGAAUCUGCCCUUGGGUUCGGAAUAACAGUUGGAAACGACUGCUAAUACCGGAUGAUGACGAAAGUCCAAAGAUUUAUCGCCCAGGGAUGAGCCCGCGUAGGAUUAGCUAGUUGGUGAGGUAAAGGCUCACCAAGGCGACGAUCCUUAGCUGGUCUGAGAGGAUGAUCAGCCACACUGGGACUGAGACACGGCCCAGACUCCUACGGGAGCAGCAGUAGGGAAUAUUGGACAAGUGGGCAAAGCCUGAUCCAGCAAUGCCGCGUGAGUGAUGAAGGCUUAGGUUGUAAAGCUUCUUUACCGAG